Molecule: ribosomal RNA, 336 nt
Filed under: uncultured Pseudomonadota bacterium
Lineage: Bacteria; Pseudomonadati; Pseudomonadota
Description: bacterial SSU rRNA
Rfam family: Bacterial small subunit ribosomal RNA
Source: RNAcentral
AGCGAACGCUGGCGGCGUGCCUAACACAUGCAAGUCGAACGUGAAAGGGAGCAAUCCCAAGUAAAGUGGCGUACGGGUGAGUAACACGUAGGUAAUCUACCCAAGAGUUUGGAAUAACCGGCCGAAAGGCUGGCUAAUACCAGAUAGAGCGACGGAAUCCGUAAUUGGGUUUUUCGGGAAAGGGAGCUCGCAAGGGCCCUCGCUUUUGGAUGAGCCUGCGUCCCAUCAGCUAGUUGGUAAGGUAACGGCUUACCAAGGCAAUGACGGGUAGCUGGUCUGAGAGGAUGAUCAGCCACACUGGAACUGAAACACGGUCCAGACUCCUACGGGUGGCAG